AGCCCCCCGCGCCCCUCAGCUCCCAGCGCGUAGCACCCGCGGCCCGGGGCUAGCUCUCUGGGCCGCCUGCUCCCUGCGGGGCCCCCGAAGCGCGCGGGGCGGGCAAGAGGAGGGGCCAGGGGCCGGCCGGCCCGGCAGCGCUCCCCCAUCCUCUCCGGCCCCCCCGCCCCACUCCCGGCUCCCCCCUGCAGCGGACCGAGGUAGGGGCGAAGGGAGGGAGCGGCGGGCCGUCCAGCCCCGAGCCGAGGCGAGCCAUGUGGGCUGGACUGCUCCUGCGAGCUGCCGCAGCCGCCGCCUGCCUCGCGCUCUCCCUGCCCGCCGGCGUCUCCGCCCGAGGCUACACGGGGGGCAGGAAGAAGCCCGUUCCGUUCGCGGCCGAGAGACGCCGCCUGGGACCCCACGUUUGCCUCUCAGGGUUUGGAAGUGGUUGCUGCCCUGGCUGGGUGCCCUCUCUGGGCAGUGGACAAUGUACUCUCCCCCUAUGCUCCUAUGGUUGUGGCAGCGGCUUCUGCAUCGCUCCUAAUGUCUGCUCCUGCAGGGAUGGAGAGCAAGGCAUCACUUGCCCAGAAGCCCCUGGACCGUGUGGUGAGUAUGGUUGUGACUUGGCCUGUAACCAUGGCGGCUGUCAGGAGGUAGCCCGUGUCUGCCCGGUGGGGUUCUCCAUGAUAGAGACAGCCAUUGGCGUCAAAUGUACAGACAUUGAUGAAUGCUUAAGCUCCUCCUGUGAGGGCCUCUGUGUGAACACAGAAGGAGGGUUUGUGUGUGAGUGUGGGCCAGGUAUGCAGCUUUCUGCUGACCGACACAGCUGCCAGGACACCGAUGAGUGCAUGGGGGUUCCUUGUCAGCAGAGCUGCCAGAAUAGCAUCGGUAGCUACAGGUGCUCCUGCCGACCAGGCUUCUACCUCCAUGGUAACCGGCACUCCUGCGUUGAUGUGAACGAGUGUCGCCGACCCCCAGAGAGGCGUGUCUGUCAUCACUCCUGCCAGAAUACCAUGGGGAGUUUCCGCUGUGCCUGCCGGGCAGGCUUCCGCCUCAGUGCAGACAGGACGUCCUGCGAAGCAUUUCCAAAGGCUGUGCUCGCCCCAUCGGGCAUCCUCCAGUCCCUCCAGCACCCCCCAAAGAUGCUGCUGCUCUUCCCGGAGUCUGGCCUGCCCGCCCUGCCUCCCGGCCACGGCCCUCCUUCUUGGGCACCUGGCCCCCCACCAGUAAUCAACACGACUCCUCUCCUGAUGCUGACCUCAGCACUGCCAGCCUCCUCCACCUCUGCCCAGUCCCCGACGUCCUCAGCUCCAGUGGUCACCCCAUCUCCCAGUUCCUCCUCCCAGGGAAGAACGGUGAAGCCAUCGAUCCUGGCGGGACUGCUGCCCCCUUCGCUCUUGCACGGCGAGGCAGUGAGGACCCCUUCCCCUCCCAGGGGCCCCUCGACCUCUCAGCCUUUGACUGUGCCGUCCCCUUGCGGGCACCAAGGAACCGCUCGUGAGCACGGAAGCCACUGGACUGAGCCUGGCUGCUUGCACUGUGGGUGCCAGGACGGCCAGGUGACCUGCGAGAAAGUGAGGUGUAAAGCCACCUGUUCCCACCCGCUGCCCUCCCGAGAUGGUGGGUGCUGUCCCGAUUGUUCAGGUUGUUUUUAUGAUGGUUUACCCAGAGCCGAAGGGGACGUGUUCUCCCCUCCCAAUGAGAACUGCACCGUCUGCGUCUGUCUCGCUGGGAAUGUGUCAUGCAUCGCCCCCGAGUGUCCUCCUGGUCCUUGCCUGACCCCUCCACAAUCUGACUGCUGCCCCUGCAUUCCAGUGAGAUGCUAUUUUCAUGGCCGAUUCUACCCAGAAGGGGCUGAGUUCAGCGGGGAUGGGGACGAGUGUACCACCUGUGUCUGCCAGCAUGGGGAAGUCCAGUGUUCCUUCACGCCUUGCCCAGAGCUGGACUGUCCAAGAGAGGAGUGGCAGUUGGGACCAGGCCAGUGCUGCUUCACCUGCCGAGAGCCCACACCAGUGUCAGGCUGCUCUCUGGAUGACAAUGGAAUUGAAUUUCCCAUUGGACAGAUCUGGUCCCCUGGUGAUCCCUGUGAGUUAUGCAUUUGCCAGGUGAAUGACAACCUGUUCUACCUCACUCAGCUUUACCUGCUCCCCGGCUUGGUCCAGAGAUGGAAAGCUCCUGCUCUGGCCUGUUGCCAGGCCUUCUCCAGAGUCCUGUCAUUGUUACCUGCCUCAGGCUGCCAUCUCAUUAGCUCUGGUAUAGCCAUCCAGGCCCUCUGUUGAGCAAUAGGUUGGGACCCAGGGCAUUCUGUUAAAUCAAAUCUGGGGAAAUGGAGGUUGGCCAUAUAACCAAAUACUUCUGAUGGAAAAAAAAUCAAGCUGAGAGGCCACGUGGUGUAGUGGUAGAGAGCGGGCCUAGCCCUCAGGAAGACCUGGGUUCCAGUCCUGCCUUUGCUACCUUCUGGUUUUAUGACCCUGGGCAAGUGACCUGACCUUCCUAGCCUCAGUUUCCUCAUCUGUAAAGCGAAAGUCUUGGACUAGAUGGUCUCCAUGUUCCCUUUGAGUUGUGAUCUCCUGAGAAGAGAGACACCCAUCUCUGUGCAUGCUUUCCAAGCCAUUAUUACUGAGCUGAGUCCACAAACCUCAGUGACAGUUUGCCCCAAGCAUUGGCAGAUGGUUCUGUGAGCUGUGAGAGGACCGACUGUGUGGAAACCUGUCCUCACCCUAUUCGGAUCCCAGGACAGUGCUGCCCCG
This is an RNA transcript of Phascolarctos cinereus (koala), 2729 nucleotides long. It is a transcript of the gene named von Willebrand factor C and EGF domains, with no coding region annotated. NCBI's taxonomy places the organism in Eukaryota, Metazoa, Chordata, Mammalia, Diprotodontia, Phascolarctidae. The record is from RefSeq and is a predicted model, not a curated record.